RNAcentral lists this ribosomal RNA (497 nucleotides) under uncultured bacterium. Its description in RNAcentral is "partial 16S ribosomal RNA". It matches the Rfam family "Bacterial small subunit ribosomal RNA", at positions 28 to 507 of the family's 1533-position model. The record is from RNAcentral.
GAUGAACGCUGGCGGCGUGCCUUAUACAUGCAAGUCGAGCGAACAGACGAGGAUCUUUCUCCUCUGACGUUAGCGGCGGACGGGUGAUUAACACGUGGAUAACCUACCUAUAAGGCUGGGAUAACUUCGGCAAACCGGAUCUAGUACCGGAUAAUAUAUUGAACCGCAUGGUUCAAUAGUGAAUGACGGUUUUGCUGUCACUUAUACAUGUAUCCGCGCCGCAUUAGCUAGUUGGUAAGGUAACGGCUUACCAAGGCAACGAUGCGUAGCCGACCUGAGAGGGUGAUCGGCCACACUGGAACUGAGACACGGUCCAGACUCCUACGGGAGGCAGCAGUAGGGAAUCUUGCGCAAUGGGCGAAAGCCUGACGCAGCAAACCCGCGUGAGUGAUGAAGGUCUUCGGAUAGUAAAACUCUGUUAUUAGGGAAGAACCAAUGUGUAAGUAACUAUGCAGGUAUUGACGGUACCUGCUCAGAAAGCACCGGCUAACUACGUG